GCUGUAUCUCCUUGAUUCCUUCUCAGACAUCUUCGAGGAACCAUCAUCCCUCCCACCUUUUCACGAAGGCUUUGAUCACCAAAUUCCUCUCCUUGCGGGUUCAAACCCUGUGAACUUGAGACCUUACCGGUACUCUUCCCUGCAAAAAUACAAUAUCGACGUGAUGAUCAAAGAGAUGAUGACUCAAGGGAUCAUUCAGCAUAGCUCUAGCCCCUACGCCUCUCAUAUCAUACUAGUCAAGAAGAAAGACGGUACCUGGAGACUUUGCGUGGACUACAGAGGCUUAAACAAGCAGACAAUAAAGGAUAAAUACCCUAUUCCUCUGCUUGAAGAUCUCC
Molecule: long non-coding RNA, 338 nt
Filed under: Brassica napus (rape)
Lineage: Eukaryota; Viridiplantae; Streptophyta; Magnoliopsida; Brassicales; Brassicaceae
Description: long non-coding RNA (BNAP_LNC013931)
Source: RNAcentral